Molecule: ribosomal RNA, 860 nt
Filed under: uncultured microorganism
Description: bacterial SSU rRNA
Rfam family: Bacterial small subunit ribosomal RNA
Source: RNAcentral
GUAGGGGGCGAGCGUUGUCCGGAAUUAUUGGGCGUAAAGGGCGUGUAGGCGGUCUUGUAAGUCGGACGUAAAGUCUACGGGCUCAACCCGUAGCCGCGUUUGAUACUGCAGGACUAGAGAGUGGUAGAGGAAAACGGAACUUCCGGUGUAGCGGUGAAAUGCGUAGAUAUCGGAAGGAACACCAGUGGCGAAGGCGGUUUUCUGGGCCACUUCUGACGUUGAGGCGCGAAAGCUAGGGGAGCAAACGGGAUUAGAUACCCCGGUAGUCCUAGCCCUAAACGAUGCUCACUAGGUGUUAGAGGUAUCGACCCCUCUAGUGCCGCAGUUAACGCGUUAAGUGAGCCGCCUGGGGAUUACGACCGCAAGGUUAAAACUCAAAUGAAUUGACGGGGGCCCGCACAAGCGGUGGAGCAUGUGGUUUAAUUCGAUGCUACGCGAACAACCUUACCUGGGUUUGACAUGCUAGUAGUAGAAACCUGAAGGGGUAACGAUCUACCUUUGGUAGAAGCUAGCACAGGUGCUGCAUGGCUGUCGUCAGUUCGUGUCGUGAGAUGUUGGGUUAAGUCCCACAACGAACGCAACCCCCAUUGCUAGUUGACAGCGUUAAGUCGGUCACUCUAGCGAAACUGCCCCGGAUGACGGGGAGGAAGGUGGGGAUGAGGUCAAGUCAUCAUGGCCCUUAUGCCCAGGGCGACACACGUGCUACAAUGCCGCGUACAAAGGGAUGCAAAUCCGCAAGGAAGAGCAAAUCUCAAAAAGCGCGGCUCAGUUCGGAUUGAGGGCUGAAAUUCGCCCUCAUGAAGCUGGAAUCGCUAGUAACCGCAGAUCAGCGCGCUGCGGUGAAUACGUUCUCGGGCCUU